AACAGGAACUGAUGGGAGCACGCCGCGUGAGUGAGAAGGGUUUCGGCUCGUAAAGCUCUGUUGGUAGUGAAGAAAGAUAGAGGUAGUAACUGGCCUUUAUUUGACGGUAAUUACUUAGAAAGUCACGGCUAACUACGUGCCAGCAGCCGCGGUAAUACGUAGGUGGCAAGCGUUGUCCGGAUUUAUUGGGCGUAAAGCGAGUGCAGGCGGUUCAAUAAGUCUGAUGUGAAAGCCUUCGGCUCAACCGGAGAAUUGCAUCAGAAACUGUUGAACUUGAGUGCAGAAGAGGAGAGUGGAACUCCAUGGGGGGCGGUGAAAUAAA
This 322-nucleotide ribosomal RNA is filed under the name uncultured Lactobacillus sp. Its description in RNAcentral is "bacterial SSU rRNA". It matches the Rfam family "Bacterial small subunit ribosomal RNA", at positions 370 to 690 of the family's 1533-position model. Lineage: Bacteria; Bacillati; Bacillota; Bacilli; Lactobacillales; Lactobacillaceae. The record is from RNAcentral.